This 253-nucleotide ribosomal RNA is filed under the name uncultured bacterium. RNAcentral describes it as "partial 16S ribosomal RNA". It matches the Rfam family "Bacterial small subunit ribosomal RNA", at positions 524 to 776 of the family's 1533-position model. The record is from RNAcentral.
UACGAAGGGGGCUAGCGUUGCUCGGAUUGACUGGGCGUAAAGCGUGCGUAGGCGGUUCGCUGUGUCCGAUGUGAAAGCCCCGGGCUUAACCUGGGAAUGGCAUUGGAAACUGGCGGGCUUGAGUGCGGCAGAGGGGGGUGGAAUUCCGCGUGUAGCAGUGAAAUGCGUAGAGAUGCGGAGGAACACCGAUGGCGAAGGCAGCCCCCUGGGUCGACACUGACGCUCAGGCACGAAAGCGUGGGGAGCAAACAGG